UACAGAGGGUGCGAGCGUUAAUCGGAAUUACUGGGCGUAAAGUGUGCGCAGGCGGCAAAGCAAGUCGAGUGUGAAAGCCCCGGGCUUAACUUGGGAAUUGCGCUCGAAACUACUUUGCUGGAGUGUGACAGAGGAAGGUGGAAUUCCACGUGUAGCGGUGAAAUGCGUAGAGAUGUGGAGGAACACCAAUGGCGAAGGCAGCCUUCUGGGCCAACACUGACGCUCAUGCACGAAAGCGUGGGGAGCAAACAGG
This 253-nucleotide ribosomal RNA is filed under the name uncultured bacterium. RNAcentral's name for it is "partial 16S ribosomal RNA". It matches the Rfam family "Bacterial small subunit ribosomal RNA", at positions 524 to 776 of the family's 1533-position model. The record is from RNAcentral.